GAUGCGUGUUGGCUGGCUCGAAUUGAGCAACUCCCCUCCUCCGAGAGUGCUGAUUAACCGGAUUGUUUCAGAAUUUCAAGCAAGUACUUAUAUUUUGGCUCAGAUGCAUGUUGGCUGCCUAGAAUUGAGCAACUACCCUCCUCCAAGAGUGCUAAUUAACCGGAUUGUUUCAGAAUUUCAAAUGAGAAUUAUCACAUGACAAACUAUGCUUUCGACAAGUUUGUCUCCAUCAUCACGCAGAUGGAGACCUUGCAAGAGCUCGCUGGUGCAGUUAAAAGUCAAUCUCUGAGAAGUAAAACAAAUGGAGAUUUCAGUAUCUAAUGGAUCAAUAUAUAUUAUUCAUGUUUCAUGAAAUCAACAUAGCUUUAUUUUUCAAAUUGUAUGAGGUUGUCCAUUUGUAUCUUGUGAAACAAACAGUGUCCAGUUAAAAUUCCCAUAUAUGUUUGUCCUUUGCAAUUCUCUUGUUCUUAUUUUUAUGCAAUUAGUACAUCCAUUUCAUAAAAUCAGAAGGUCCACACUAUCUAGGCCCGUGUUCACUGUCAUCUGCCAUGUAUGUAAUUUGGGUUGGAUCUAUGGCACUUGCUUACAGAAUUUUUUCAUGAGAUCUGGAAAAUCCUAUGCUUCUGAUUAUACCGAGCGAUGUAGUUAAUG
Lolium rigidum is the source of this 651-nucleotide long non-coding RNA. RefSeq lists it as uncharacterized. The transcript is spliced from 3 exons. The record is from RefSeq and is a predicted model, not a curated record. Lineage: Eukaryota; Viridiplantae; Streptophyta; Magnoliopsida; Poales; Poaceae.